CCUCCCGUAACGCGGCCUCCCCGGCCCGGGCAGCGCCCUCUGAGGGGCCGCAGCGCUUCCUGCCCCUGCGGGCGCCGCCCUCCGCGCCUCCGCUCCGGACUUCCCAAGCAAGUGCCUGCCUGGCAGGGGAGCAGCGUGGCUAGCCAGGAUUUGGCUCGACAAAAGGCAGGAGUGAAUGGGAAGUAAAGAAAAUGGCCAAGGGCAUGGACAACUGGAAGGCCUUCAAUGGUGAGGGAGAUUGGUGUUUUGGGACAAGGAUCAUCUAUUAUUCUGUUUAUUCACUGCUGAGCCCAGUGGAGCCUUGCCUGGAACAACUGACUGGGUCCUUUUGCCACUCCCAUACAAAGCAUAAUAAUAAUUCUUUAACCAUCCUUGCCCCUACUGCUGUAUGUUGCUGUGAUUCUCCAGUCCCCUCAAGCUGACAGCUCUGCUAGAGACCAUGAAUGACAUCCAUUGUGAGCAAGAAGGGCACAGCAUCUUAGACCUGCAACCUGUAGCAAGAACCCUUGAAUUCUGUAUAGAACAUUUAAUGUGCUGGAAAGCUGUCAACUACAAGAUUCUGAAUUGAUUUUGAGGACAUGAUCCUGUUUUCAUUGAUGCUAGUGAUAGUUAAUUGACGUCAGCUGGAACAGGAUUGGGUCCUAUCUGUGAAUUUUCUCCAUUACAAGCUUAAAAAUAUUAUGAACUAUAGUCCAAAGCAUUCUGGAUGGGUCUCAGAACAAAAGUGAAGAAUGUCUGUUAACGCGUUGGAGUUUCUGUGGCUGUGUAUGUUAGAUAGACAGAGACAGAAACAGAGGAGAAAGUAUUAUUAUUUAUUACUCAAAGACCCUGCUGUUGCAACUGAUAGUGAGUGGACCAUGCUGAAGUCUUUGCAUCUCUCUCCUAUCAGAUGAAGAAACUGAGGCACAGAAGCUAAGUGGCUUAUCCAAGGCUACACAAAGGACUUUGAUGUUGGAGCAUCAAUUGUUUGGAGCAUCCAUGUUGGAGCAUUAAUCUUUAGGAGUUCCAGUUUAUUUGUAAUAGUUGGGGAAAACUGCUGAAGAACAGUUCAUGCAUGUAAAAGUCUGACCUCUCUAAAUUGUCAAGAUUGGUGGGGUCUUUAGUCAUUUACUUAGUGAGCAUUAGUGACAAAUGCAUCUGGGUCAGCUAUAUCGUAUACAUAGAAUUUCCUUAAGACUUUGCAGUGGAGAAGAAAAUAUUAGCUGAGAACCUUUUUUGUAGCAGGGGUUCCUUUCUCUGCAUUUACUAGCCUCUUGUUUAUAUGUCACUCUUGUAUAACUGGCAAAUUAACCAAGCUGCAUGUCAAAACAUGUUGUAGGAGGUCUCUUGCAGAUUUUGAGUAAUUUGAAGAGAAGUAUAAAGUAGGGCCACUUCAUUUAACCCUGGUUGAAUGGUGCGUAAGAUCUCUGAGAAGUUAUUUAGUAAUCAUCUUAAAUUCCUAAUGCUGUGUUUAGGGGGAAAAAGAAUUCCUUGGACUGUACCUUGGAGGCUAUAGUUGCAAUAAAAUCUAGGAAAAGGUUAUUUUACCUGAAUGUAUCGCUUAGCAACCAAGAAUCCACCUCCAGAGAAUGCUGUUCUGUGGGUUACCAAGUAACUGACUGUGACAAUUACCAAACAGCUGGUCCACUAAUCUACAUACCCUUUAACCUUAGUCAGCUGAAAGAUGGACUGAUGACAGCUAACAAACAAUAGAAACACACCCUAAUAUUUUAUUUAAAGGCUGAGGAAAGCCACAGCUGUAUGGAUCAUUCAGCCAGCUGGAUUUAACUGUUUCCACUUGUCUAUCAUGCCUACAAGAAGCUGUUACAUAGCACAGCUCUGCAAUGUAUUUGAAAACAUAUUAGUACUUCCAUUAUCCAAAAAUGUUACAUAAUGGUAAAAUCCACUGAUUGAGAAGAUAUUUCUACACUGUAAUGCAGAAAUGGAAAGCAGCUAAUUAUGAACUGGCUUGGUGAUAAUAGAAAAUCUUUGUUUUAGCUACAUUCAUUAAAAUGUAGUAAGUCUCAAAAUUUGUCAUAGUGAGUUUGACAGAAUAUAGCCAUUUCACAUACAAUCAGCUGUACUUAUUAGGUGCUGUUAAAUAUCAAAAAAGGAAUUAUUUACAAUACUGAAUGGUGGCAUACCUAGGAACAAUGGGAACACUGGGAGAGAAAAUUUAGGCUGAGAUCUGCAAAAAACUUCUUGACAAUGAGAAGCAUUCUAUUUUGGAGUGGUCUCUCAAGGGAAAUGACAGUGCUACAGACAUCAAGAAAUGUCAAAAUGGACUGGAAACAUGAGAAUGAAUAUUCCAGUGACCAGUCCUGGACUGGUGAAGGAGCAGAUAUAGUUUCUUUUUCAUUUUGAACUUUGGAGCUUUACAAAGACAAGCAAAUAGCAAAACAAUAUUGUAAUGAUGUUCUAGAUCCAGGGCACUCAACCUCCGGCUCACAGGCCAAAUGCAGCCUGUGGAGCCUUGGAAUCUGACCUGUGAGGCUCCCCAUGGGUCAGGAAAUUUGGUGGGUGGGGGAGCAGUAGCAGUUAGUACUGCCAUGCCACCCCACUGCCAAAAUCCCAAACCCUACCCGGUGGAUCAGAACUAGGCCAUGACUCUCCCCCUGCCCAGCCAGAUCAGUGCUAGGCCAUGUCCCCUUUCCGCUGCAUGGCCAGGUUAGUAAUGUGCUGUGACCCCUUCUCCCCAUGGGGCCAGGACGUGGCCCCCCUAUGUGAUUGGAUCAUGACCAGGACACAGCCUUUCCAACCCCCCCAGAUUGGGGCCAAGGCAUGCCCCUUUUCCUCUGUGGGGCUGGGCCAUACCGCCCCUCCCCCCCAAUCUGGACAGGUUGGGGUGGCCAAACCCCUCUUCUUCCAUGGGGUUGGGCCAUGCCUUCUCCCCCAGCAGAACUGGAUCAGAGCUGGGUUAUGCCCCCUUCUCUACACAGGGCCAGGUUGGGGCUGGGGCAAAUCCUCUUCCAUGUGGCUGAAUUGGUGACUGGCUGUCUGUUUCUGUGGCCAGAUGGAGCCCCAUAACACCUUCCCUGGGUGCUGGAUUGGGUCCACCAGCCAGAUCUGGCCCAAGAAGGGACUGCCUUAUCCAACCCACUGGACAAAAAGGUUGAGAAGCACUGUUCUAGAUGCAACUUGCUUAGGCACUGAGUCCACUGACUUGGGCAUAUGCCUGACUUCGUAACCUUGAAGUACACAUUCCAUAUAUAGCAAAAUGAAAAACAUAAGAUGUGUUAUAGGUCUGGAGCCUCACUUGUAGUUAGAAACCUCAAAUACUCUGCCUGUGGGAGAGUUCAAAUUCUCCCUAGAUGAAAUCUUGGCUAGGUGCAUGUAGCAGAGUGACAGUAAUGGGAACUCAGUUGUGUUUCACUCAUUCUGUAUUAGGCUGGCCCUUCAUAUGGAUUAACUGGAACUUUAUGCCGUGUCCUGCCUGCCCUUUUCUCUCUCAGCACAACCCAGGUGCCAGGCAGUUGGGAUGUAGUGUUAAAAGUUAUAAUUUUGAGAUGCUUCCCAAUUGAGAAGACCUAAGAAGUUGGGAAAUGGUACCCAAGUUUGAGAGUAUUUGGUUAGUCGUGGACAGGAGGACCGCAGAGGCUUACCUACUGCACCACAAUAAGAGUUUCUGUUUAAUUCUUUUCAUUCCUUCUUUAUUGAAGUCAAAGAACAUUUUCUGGUGUCAGAAUGGCAAAUGAGAAGAAACUUGAAAGAAGUUGAGAUUCAAAAUCAAAGAAGUUGGAAAUUGAACAUGGAGCAACAUAAGCAUGUGGGAGGAUAACGGCAUCUGUAAGAGAUCUGCCUACCCAGCCAUAGUUUAAGAAAGAAGACAGUUUUGGAAGCGUUGCAACCACCACCUGCCCUUCUAGAGAAGGGAAGGGCAAAGGCUUGAGUGGAUAAGCUAUAAGGGCAGAAGAGAAAAUUGAUAAAGUCAAAUCCUUACAUGUCUUGCAGGAAAUCUUCACACUGAGGCAGGAAUCCCUGGGUGCUUAUAACAACUUGACUUUUGUAGUUAAAUGCCAAAAUAUGUCAUUAAAUAUAAUACUGUCCAAAUUUGAGGAAUAUUGCAUAUCAAAAAGAGACUGCGACCCUUGAAAGACAGAUUUUUGUGUGCGAACAAACAGGAGAAAGUAUAGCUCAAUACAUUACUGAAAUAAAGAGGCCGAGUAAGAACUGUGCUUUUGGGAACUUGACAGAAUCUCUGAUUAGAGAUAGGAUUAUUUGUGGCAUUGCAGAUAAUUUAUUACAAGAGAGACUAUUGAAUGAGGGAGACUUAUGCCUAGGAAAGACUAUUCAGAUUGGCAGGGAAGUGGAAACUAUGAAGACCCAGGCUGCAGAGCAGAAUACACUAAAAGGGGGCUUCCAUGCAUUAUGCAUGAAAGAAUGCAUCUGGGAAAAGCCACCUCACAGCAUGGAGUUUUUCAUUGGUAAGAAGCUACCUCACAGAGUGGAAUUUUCCUUGGACAAGGAGACUACUAAGGGGUGGGCAUGCAGCACGUGUGGAAGAUAGCAUGGCCCCAAUCACCGACCUCCAUUUGGAAAGCUCUGUAAUAAAUUAGGUAAGAAGAACCAUUUUACCAACUGUUGCAGAUCCCAAACAUGAAACCUUCAAGUGCCUAUAACUAGAAUAUAACCUAUAGCCAGAUAAAGAGUUUAUGUAGAUAGGGUGGAAUUGAGCAAAACCCAGGGACUUUGCCAGUGGAGGUGCAAGAAGAAAUUGGAGCUCAGGCUAGUAUUUUACCACUGUCAGGACCUAGUCCCAAACCCCUGACCCAAGCACCAGCUCAGCCCUUCACCAGGCUCACAGCUCAUGAAGGAAAGCAGAGAGGUAAGGGAAGGCCUUCUGCUGGCUCCUGAUUGGCUUAGGUCUCCUGGCCCCUGAUUGGAUCCUUCUGCCUAUUUAAGGCUCCUGUUCUUGAACUGUGCUGCUGCUGCCUUGCCUUUGUGCUCUGACACUAGAUUUGACCAGCUGUUGCUGAUCCUGCUCAGACUUUGACCUCCACCUUUGCCUCAAGUCUUGGAUUGUUGGAACUUGGUUCUCACAGGUAUCUGACCUGGCUUGCUCCCUGACCUUGCUCUGUCUAGUGUUUCAGCCCUGGCUUGGACUCUGACCCUUUGGCUUUAACCCUGGCUUCCCCUCGGACCUUGGCUAACAGCUUGUGCAGCCCAGCAGCCAGAUCACCUAUGCCUCAGUACUUGAUAUGGAGCAUGAAUAUAAAAAAAUUGAAAUUGAAGCAUCUAGUCUUACAGGAGAGUAUAUAAACUCCCAUUCAGUAUGGUACCUAGGAGUCCCAAUUUUGGGCAGCGUAUGAGAAACUGAAUCUGAAUCUAGGUAAGUAUAUGCUUUCAGUACAAGACUGCAAGCAUGGGAUCUGAGACACAUAUGUCAGCUUACAAGGAUUUAUUCAGAGGGCUAGGUUCAGGGGUGAUGUGUAGGGGGUGCACAUGCACCCCCUGAGCAUGGCGGUGCACCCCCUACAUAAAGGCACUGCUGACAGUGUCAGCGGUGCCUGCGGGCGGUUGCCACUCACCACCCUCCCCACCGCCAACACCUCUAGUGGUGUCUGCAGGUGGUCAGUGAUCCCCACUGGCUGCUGUCGAUGCUGCUGCCAGCGUCUGUGGGUGGUCACCAGCCCCUGGCUGUCACUUGCCACCCCGCCGCUAACAGCACCGGUGGUGUCCGUGGGAGCUCCCACUUAACGCUGCUACACUCUUGCCACCACCGUGUCCCUCCCCAGGCAGCAGGGGCAUGUGUCAUUCAUGGCUAGGUUGCUUGCUAGAUGAAUGAUUAGUGAUAUAUUAAUUUGUCAGUGACAAAUUUAUGCAUCCUGAUGAUCCUCUUGGCCAUCAUGGUCCAAAUCUGGACAGUUUUCUUAGAAAGAAACCAAUUGUUCCAGACGACAAGAAACAAGCAUGUAUUUAUGGGAAGAAACGUACAUAUGGCACAAAUUACAAAUACUCGUAUCCGGAAAGAGAGAAUCUGCUUCAGCUGUUUGUAGCUUAUGAACUUUGUGUCAUGUCCAGAAGCACAGCUUCCAAAAUUGCAAAUGAAGGAGGACUAGGAAAAAGCAAUAGUGUUCUAUGUAGCACUAAGAAUGAAGCCACUUCCAAUCUCAAAUAUACUACUCCAAAGAGGCAAUCAGAGCCCAGCAUAUCAAUCCAAGACAUGGAGAAAAAGCUUCCCACCAAAAACAAACUGGAAACCAGGUCUGAUAUUUUGUUGAAGUGAGAGGGGAGUGAAACCACCUAAAAGAGUCAGAGUUUUGCUAGAAGAACUGAAGAAAAGGGGGAAUGAGAAAGUGAGUGGUAAGAACUCACUUCAGAGUAACUUGCCAGUAACCUCUCCUCUGUAGAUGACUGUGACAGAGCACCUUUGGGUGCCUGCCACUUUAAGAGUGAGAGCAGACAGCAGGGCAACUGGCAGGUGUGGGCCAGCCUUGAUGGGCCAGGAAACUGGCUACAAGGUAGGACCCAGAGAAUUCUCAUAAACAGAUCUCAUAGAGUUCAUAGACAUUAGGACUGGAAGGGACCUUGGAAGAUCAUCGAGUCCAGCCCCCUGCCCCAGGGGCAGGAAGUCAGCUGGGAUCAAAGGAUCCCAGCAAGAUAAACAUCCAACUCUGGAGGCAAUCUAUUCCAGGCCUUGGGGGCUUGGACAGUAAAGAAGUUUUUCCUUAUGUCCAGCCUGAAACGGUCUUGGAGGAGUUUGUGAUCAUUUGACCUUGUCAUCCCUUGGGGCGCUCUGAUGAAAAGGCGUUCCCCCAGAUCCUGAUGUACACUCCUUAUAUACUUAUAGGCAGCCACCAGGUCCUCCCGGAGCCUGCACUUUUCCAGGCUGAAGAGUCCCAUAGCUCUCAGGCUCUCAUCAUAGGGCGUGUUCUCCUGCCCUCUAAUCAUGCAUGUGGCUCUCCUCUGGACUCUCUCAAGCUUUUCCACGUCCUUUUUAAAUUGUGGAGCCCAGAAUUGGAUGCAGUACUCCAGCUGUGGCCUCACCAAGACUGAGUACAGCAGGAGGAUGACAUCCUGGGAUUUGCUUGAGUAGCAUCUAUGGAUGCAAGCCAGAGUUUUGCUCACUUUACCAGCUGCAACAUUGCAUUGGUGGCUCAUAUUCAUCUUGUGGUCAAUCGUGACCCCCAAGUCCCUUUCGGCCGUGGUGCUAGCAAGCGUAGCACUGAUGAGCCUCUAAGUGUGCUGUGGGAUUUUUUUCCCCAAAGUGGAGUACCUUGCAUUUUUUGGUGUUGAAUGCUGUCAGGUUUUUGCCCACCCAUUUUCUGAGCCUGUCAAGGUUGGCCUGGAUCACCAUCCUGUCCUCAGGUGUGGAUGCUUUACCCCAAACUUUGGUGUCAUCGGUGAACUUGGCCAGUCCACUUCUGACACCAAUGUCUACAUCAUUAAUAAAGAUGUUAAAGAGUAUAGGCCCUUGGGGGAGUCUUGGGGGACCCCACUAGUCACGGUGCACCACAAUGAUUUAUUUCCAUUAUUACCACUCUCUGGGUCCAACCUCAGAGCCAAUUCCUUAGCCAUAGGACUGUGAUGUAGCUGAGGCCGCAGUUGGCCAAUUUUUCCAUGAGGAGAUCAUGGGACACCAGAUCAAAAGCUUUUUUAAAGUCAAGAUAUAUGAUGUCAAUCUCUUCUUCAUUGUCCAGGUGAUAUGUCACCUGGUCAUAGAAGGAGAUGAGAUUGGUUAGGCAAGACCUACCUGCAAGAAACCCAUGCUGGCUAUCCAUCAGGAUGUUGCCAUCAGUCAGUUUGUCAAGAAUGGACUCUUUGAUAUUUUUUUCCAAGAUCUUCCCUGGGAUAGAGGUGAGGCUGAUAGGCCUGUAAUUCCCCGGAUCUGCUUUCCUCCUUUUCUUGAAGAUAGGCAUCACAUUGGCCUUCUUCCAAUCUUCAGGCACUUCAGCUGAGCGCCACGAGUUCUCGAAGAUCCGUGCCAUUGGCUGAGCUAUGAUGCCUCAAGUCAGCUGGCCCAGACAGUUUACACUCCAGGGUACUCAAGGAGCAGGGGGUCGGGCACAAUGAUCCAUUGCGUCCCUUCCAACUCUAUAAUCUAUGAAUUUAGGAACCCCCUGUUGGGGGGGACGAACCCCCUGUUGGGGGGUUGUAGCCCUUGUGUGCGGACUGCAUCCCCUGUUGGGGGCCAGAACCCCUGUGUGGGGGCCAUUGCCCCUUGGGAGGGUAGCAAAAUAUAUAUUCAUGUAUUCAUGAAACAUGUAUUUAGAGUUCACUUUAUUAUUAUGAUAAGAGAGGUACUUUAACACUGUACAUAUAUCAAUAAAACGUUGUCCAACUGGU
Long non-coding RNA from Alligator mississippiensis (American alligator), 8265 nucleotides. RefSeq lists it as uncharacterized. NCBI's taxonomy places the organism in Eukaryota, Metazoa, Chordata, Crocodylia, Alligatoridae. The record is from RefSeq and is a predicted model, not a curated record. The transcript is spliced from 8 exons.